This 528-nucleotide long non-coding RNA is filed under the name Pan troglodytes (chimpanzee). RNAcentral describes it as "long non-coding RNA NONPTRT003287". The record is from RNAcentral. Lineage: Eukaryota; Metazoa; Chordata; Mammalia; Primates; Hominidae.
GGGGUAAGGAGACCAGCAAGGGAUAUUGAGGCACCCAGGGCUAAACUUAGAGGGAAGCUGUCAUCACCCUAGGGCCUGAGGAGGAAGGGGAGAAAAUACUGUUUGGGGGGCCUGGUGGGAGCUGUAGCUGGGAGGAGGACCAUGAGGGAGAAACCAUAGUCAUGGAAGGAUGUUGUCACUGCCAGGACCAAGGCACCAAGGACAGAGGAAGUGCUUUUUGCCUGGCCUUAAAGGGGAGAGUUUCGGGGAGGAUGUAUUUGAGCUUCAUCUUAAAGACGAGCAGGACUCAGCGAGAAGACAUGGCAGCGGUGGUGGGUCCUGGCGGAAGGAAGAGCGUGGCCCAUAGCAUGAGGCACGGGUUUCAUUCAAACCAAACUUCCUUCAUGAAGCCUUCUGCAACCCCAUGCCUCUCAGUGAAACGUCCUUCCUUACUGUGCACAUGAGCCCUGUGGCACGUGGCAACUGUGCCUGGAUACCCCAAUUUCUCUUUCUAAGGCAGGGAAUUUUCUUGUACUUCCUUUAGUCCCA